This 26-nucleotide non-coding RNA is filed under the name Bos taurus (domestic cattle). Lineage: Eukaryota; Metazoa; Chordata; Mammalia; Artiodactyla; Bovidae. RNAcentral also lists the same sequence under 3 other names. The record is from RNAcentral.
UCGCUGGUUCGAUUCCGGCUCGAAGG